UACGUAGGGUGCAAGCGUUGUCCGGAUUCAUUGGGCGUAAAGGGCUAGUAGGCGGCUUAGCAAGUCGGGUGUGAAAACUCCAGGCUCAACCUGGAGCGGCCACUCGAUACUGCUAUGGCUAGAGUCCGGUAGGGGACCACGGAAUUCCUGGUGUAGCGGUGAAAUGCGCAGAUAUCAGGAGGAACACCAGUGGCGAAGGCGGUGGUCUGGGCCGGAACUGACGCUGAAUAGCGAAAGCGUGGGUAGCAAACAGG
RNAcentral lists this ribosomal RNA (254 nucleotides) under uncultured Aciditerrimonas sp. Its description in RNAcentral is "partial 16S ribosomal RNA". It matches the Rfam family "Bacterial small subunit ribosomal RNA", at positions 524 to 776 of the family's 1533-position model. The record is from RNAcentral. Lineage: Bacteria; Bacillati; Actinomycetota; Acidimicrobiia; Acidimicrobiales; Acidimicrobiaceae.